AAGGAGUUCAUCUGGUUGGCAUUUGCCGGGGGAGGUUGUGCUGGACUGACUGCCCUCCAGAGCUUCUCGCUCCUUGAGACUCUUAAGCUGAAACAUUGGUGUUAAAGACUCAAACAUAACUGAUAGCUGUGAUGGGAUCAAUACUGCUCAACAGAGUUGCAAACAACAUAAUGUGUUAAAGGAUACAAUGCGCUGGUCCUGGUACGCCCACUUCUGUUUCAAAUAUUCAAUGAGGCUGGAAACCUUUCUAUGCAGCUCCACCACCAUUCUAGGUAUUCUUGGGCUAAUCUUUUGGUCCUGUGAUGCCGCAGCAAACGGACACCAUUUUCAAAAGCACUGGCACGAGUUAAA
Long non-coding RNA from Solea solea (common sole), 351 nucleotides. RefSeq lists it as uncharacterized. The record is from RefSeq and is a predicted model, not a curated record. Lineage: Eukaryota; Metazoa; Chordata; Actinopteri; Pleuronectiformes; Soleidae. The transcript has 3 exons.